AGUUAAACAGUACGUGAAAUUGUUGAAAGGGAAACGAUUGAAGCCAGUCGUACCUUCGGGUAAUCAGCCUUUUGGGUGUGAUUUUGUGGAGCGUGAAGAGUUAAACGCCUUCAUGCCUGCAUAUUCGUGCACUUUGGGUGUACUUGCCCGUAUGGUUGGUUAACAUCAAUUUUGGUGGUCAUAAAAUGACUGGAGGAAUGUAGCUUCGAUCUUGUAUUGAAGUGUUAUAGCCUUCGGUAGAUGUGAUGAUCGAGAUUGAGGAUUGCAACGGAUACCCUUCGGGGCUACCUGUCUGGUCUCUGAUCGUUGUUCUGGUGCCGAAAGCUUGCUUACGGUUAUCAAAGUCGAUGGUCAAUAGGUUAGAACGGGUUAAAUUCGUUAAGGAUGUUGACGUAAUGGCUUUAAA
This 406-nucleotide unclassified non-coding RNA is filed under the name uncultured Rhizophagus. RNAcentral's name for it is "sequence contains 28S rRNA gene". Lineage: Eukaryota; Fungi; Glomeromycota; Glomeromycetes; Glomerales; Glomeraceae. The record is from RNAcentral.